GCCUGGAUAGCUCAGUCGGUAGAGCAUCAGACUUUUAAUCUGAGGGUCCAGGGUUCGAGGCCCUGUUCGGGCG
This 73-nucleotide transfer RNA is filed under the name Harpegnathos saltator (Jerdon's jumping ant). It matches the Rfam family "tRNA". Rfam says of the family: Transfer RNA (tRNA) molecules are approximately 80 nucleotides in length. Their secondary structure includes four short double-helical elements and three loops (D, anti-codon, and T loops). Lineage: Eukaryota; Metazoa; Arthropoda; Insecta; Hymenoptera; Formicidae. The record is from Rfam by way of RNAcentral.